UACACGACCGUACCGCAAACCGACACUGGUGCGCGAGAUGAGUAUUCUAAGGCGCUUGAGAGAACUCAGGAGAAGGAACUCGGCAAAUUGACACCGUAACUUCGGAAGAAGGUGUGCCUUUAGUAGGUGAACCAUUUACUUGGGGAGCCCAAUGAGGCUGCAAAAAAUCGGUGGCUGCAACUGUUUAUUAAAAACACAGCACUCUGCUAAGACGAAAGUCGACGUAUAGGGUGUGACGCCUGCCCGGUGCUGGAAGAUUAAAUGAUGGGGUGCAAGCUCUUGAUUGAAGUCCCAGUAAACGGCGGCCGUAACAAUAACGGUCCUAAGGUAGCGAAAUUCCUUGUCGGGUAAGUUCCGACCUGCACGAAUGGCGCAAUGAUGGCCACACUGUCUCCUCCUGAGACUCAGCGAAGUUGAAAUGUUUGUGAUGAUGCAAUCUCCCCGCGGAAAGACGGAAAGACCCCAUGAACCUUUACUGUAGCUUUGUAUUGGACUUUGAACAGAUCUGUGUAGGAUAGGUGGGAGGCUUUGAAGUGUGGUCGCUAGAUCGCAUGGAGCCAACGUUGAAAUACCACCCUGGUGUGUUUGAGGUUCUAACCUAGGUCCAUUAUCUGGAUCGGGGACAGUGCAUGGUAGGCAGUUUGACUGGGGCGGUCUCCUCCCAAAGUGUAACGGAGGAGUUCGAAGGUACGCUAGGUACGGUCGGACAUCGUGCUAAUAGUGCAAUGGCAUAAGCGUGCUUAACUGCGAGACUGACAAGUCGAGCAGAUGCGAAAGCAGGACAUAGUGAUCCGGUGGUUCUGUAUGGAAGGGCCAUCGCUCAACGGAUAAAAGGUACUCUGGGGAUAACAGGCUGAUACCGCCCAAGAGUUCAUAUCGACGGCGGUGUUUGGCACCUCGAUGUCGGCUCACCUCAUCCUGGGGCUGUAGCCGGUCCCAAGGGUAUGGCUGUUCGCCAUUUAAAGAGGUACGUGAGUUGGGUUUAAAACGUCGUGAGACAGUUUGGUCCCUAUCUUCCGUGGGCGCUGCAGAUUUGAGGAAGCCUGCUCCUAGUACGAGAGGACCGGAGUGGACGAACCUCUGGUGUAUCGGUUGUCACGCCAGUGGCAUUGCCGAGUAGCUAAGUUCGGAAGAGAUAACCGCUGAAAGCAUCUAAGCGGGAAACUCGUUUCAAGAUUAGAUCUGCCGGGGCCUUGAGCCCCCUAAAGAGUCGUUCAAGACCAGGACGUUGAUAGGUCAGGUGUGGAAGCG
Molecule: ribosomal RNA, 1251 nt
Filed under: metagenome
Description: bacterial LSU rRNA
Rfam family: Bacterial large subunit ribosomal RNA
Source: RNAcentral